GUGGGGAAUAUUGGACAAUGGGGGGAACCCUGAUCCAGCCAUGCCGCGUGUGUGAAGAAGGCCUUUUGGUUGUAAAGCACUUUAAGCGAGGAGGAGGCUACCGAGAUUAAUACUCUUGGAUAGUGGACGUUACUCGCAGAAUAAGCACCGGCUAACUCUGUGCCAGCAGCCGCGGUAAUACAGAGGGUGCAAGCGUUAAUCGGAUUUACUGGGCGUAAAGCGCGCGUAGGUGGCCAAUUAAGUCAAAUGUGAAAUCCCCGAGCUUAACUUGGGAAUUGCAUUAGAUACUGGUUGGCUAGAGUAUGGGAGAGGAUGGUAGAAUUCCAGGUGUAGCGGUGAAAUGCGUAGAGAUCUGGAGGAAUACCGAUGGCGAAGGCAGCCAUCUGGCCUAAUACUGACACUGAGGUGCGAAAGCAUGGGGAGCAAACAGGAUUAGAAACCCUUGUAGUCC
Molecule: ribosomal RNA, 451 nt
Filed under: uncultured bacterium
Lineage: Bacteria
Description: partial 16S ribosomal RNA
Rfam family: Bacterial small subunit ribosomal RNA
Source: RNAcentral